This 817-nucleotide ribosomal RNA is filed under the name uncultured bacterium. Its description in RNAcentral is "bacterial SSU rRNA". It matches the Rfam family "Bacterial small subunit ribosomal RNA", at positions 8 to 871 of the family's 1533-position model. The record is from RNAcentral.
AGAGUUUGAUCCUGGCUCAGAACGAACGCUGGCGGCAUGCCUAACACAUGCAAGUCGAACGAGACCUUCGGGUCUAGUGGCGCACGGGUGCGUAACGCGUGGGAAUCUACCCUUGGGUUCGGAAUAACAGUUAGAAAUGACUGCUAAUACCGGAUGAUGACUUCGGUCCAAAGAUUUAUCGCCCAGGGAUGAGCCCGCGUAGGAUUAGCUAGUUGGUGGGGUAAAGGCCUACCAAGGCGACGAUCCUUAGCUGGUCUGAGAGGAUGAUCAGCCACACUGGGACUGAGACACGGCCCAGACUCCUACGGGAGGCAGCAGUGGGGAAUAUUGGACAAUGGGCGAAAGCCUGAUCCAGCAAUGCCGCGUGAGUGAUGAAGGCCUUAGGGUUGUAAAGCUCUUUUACCCGGGAUGAUAAUGACAGUACCGGGAGAAUAAGCCCCGGCUAACUCCGUGCCAGCAGCCGCGGUAAUACGGAGGGGGCUAGCGUUGUUCGGAAUUACUGGGCGUAAAGCGUACGUAGGCGGCUUUGUAAGUUAGAGGUGAAAGCCCGGGGCUCAACUCCGGAACUGCCUUUAAGACUGCAUCGCUUGAACGUCGGAGAGGUGAGUGGAAUUCCGAGUGUAGAGGUGAAAUUCGUAGAUAUUCGGAAGAACACCAGUGGCGAAGGCGACUCACUGGACGACUGUUGACGCUGAGGUACGAAAGCGUGGGGAGCAAACGGGAUUAGAUACCCUGGUAGUCCACGCCGUAAACGAUGAUAACUAGCUGUCAGGGCUCAUAAAGUUUUGGUGGCGCAGCUAACGCGUUAAGUUAUCCG